CCGUGACGUUGCUGCUCAGUGACGGAGUCCCAGAAUCUGUGGCGACAACUUGGAACUGGAACGUUUUCAGGGUUUCAAAGUCAAAACUUUUUAAGCCAAAAUAUCUCCAUUUUCAGAGUUGAUGCUCAAAAACAGACCUAAAUUAUCUCUACUGCUGUCCCUUGGGAUAUGAUAUGAAAUUUGCGCAUUGUCACUAUCGUCAAGGUCAGAUGCACUCACUUUAAAUACUGGUGCUACUGGGUUAUUGUUUUCAGUUAUAUAUAACGUAUAUGGGCUCAGUGUAAACUGAGGUCUGUUGUCGUUUACGUCUGAUACAACAACAUUUAUUUUUUUUUCAGAUGAGAACGACGGUUCACCACCAUCUUUUGCAAUGAUUGUCAUGUCAUAAAUGUGUUUUUCUUCUCUGUCCAGUGGUGAUUUCGUCACUAUCGCGUACAUAUUUUCUUGCAUGGAUGGAGAAAUAGAAAAAGGGACAUUCUCACGUAUUAAGCAGGAAACCUGCCCAUUGGGGCCUGAAUCCAAAUCAUGAACACUGAUUAAAGCCACAGUUGUUCCAAUUCUAGAAUCUUCAAGAACUGAUUUGGAAAAUGAAGUAAUUUCAAUCUCUGGGGGAUUAUCAUUAAGGUCAAUAACCUUGAUUAUCACAGUUCUGUCUGUGGAUAAAGGGACAGUUCCCUUAUCUGAAACUUGAAUGUCAAUUAUAAAACUUUCCUCUAAUUCAAAAUCUAUCAGAUCUUGAACAAUAAUUUCACCUGUAUUUGCAUCCGCACGAAAAAUGUCACGUAUUCUACUGUUCACAUUCUUUCCUAAUGAAUACACAAUCAGUCCAUUGGAUCCUUCAUCUAAAUCCGAAGCAUUUACUUUUAUAAUAGUUGUACCAAUAGGAGCAUUUUCUUCCAAAAGUAAUGAGUAGGUUUCUUGGUCAAAAACUGGAAAAUUGUCAUUAACGUCUAACACGUCGACCGUAAUUUCAGCUGUUCCAGAUUUACAUGGUUUCCCUCCAUCAAGAGCUGUGAGAAGCAACGUAUGACUCUUCUUUGUUUCUCUAUCUAGCGUCUUGAGUAAAACUAAUACAGGUAUCUUCCCAUCUUUUCCACGAUCUUUGACUUCCAAACGAAAAUGAUCAUUAUGAUUUAGUUUAUACUCCUGUACCGAAAACUGACCAACAUCCGGGUCCUGUGCCGCUUGCAGCUGGAGACGCAAACCUGGUAAAACCGACUCGGAAAUUUCGAGACGUGAGUCUUUCGUUGAGAAGGUGGGAGAGUGGUCGUUCACAUCCAGCACCUCAACGGUCACAUAAUGAAUUUCAAGAGGGUUUUCCAGCACAGUCUUUAAAUUGAUCAAACAAACAUUGCCUCGCUCACAAACCUUCUCUCUGUCGAUUAUUCGAUCAACAUACAGUAUUCCGUCGUCCUGGUUCACGUGAAAAAAUGACUCUUUUGAACUCUCAACAAUACGGCAUCCUCUCUCUUUCAAAGUGCUCGUAUCUAAUCCCAAAUCCUUCGCUAUAUUCCCGACAACCGCUCCUGCUUCGAUUUCCUCAGCGAUGGAGUAUCUUAGUUGCGCUGAAGCUCUGCUCCAAACCAAAAAAAUCAAAACAAUAAAAGCAGUCGGCCGACAUUUCCCUCGUGAUGUUCCAAGUCGAAUAUGCUCCAUAACCAAAAGAUACGAAUGCAUCCCGAUGAGUCAGAAUAUUGUUGUCUUCAAGACAAGAAACGUAGAUCGACUAAAAAUAAUGUUUAAGACUUUCAAGAUUAUUAAAUGCACGGAUUCUGAAUAUUCGCCGUGGGAGAACAAGGCGCC
Molecule: long non-coding RNA, 1803 nt
Organism: Gasterosteus aculeatus aculeatus (three-spined stickleback)
Lineage: Eukaryota; Metazoa; Chordata; Actinopteri; Perciformes; Gasterosteidae
Source: Ensembl